AAGUCGUAACAAGGUUUCCGUAGGUGAACCUGCGGAAGGAUCAUUAUGGUGGCCGAGGCGAGAAAGCCGAGGCAUAGCACGAGCGUGUGGCCAGCAAUGGCACACACGUGAUGGCCAGUGUUGUACUGAUAUGUGGCAGUGUCAUGUGAUGCAGUCACAUGCCUGCCAGAGAAUACUAACCAUGUCACAAUACAUCACCGAGUCACUCCACAACACCACACAACUGUUGGCAACGGAUCACUCGGCUCUC
RNAcentral lists this unclassified non-coding RNA (250 nucleotides) under fungal sp. RNAcentral's name for it is "partial internal transcribed spacer region". The stretch from base 1 to 46 matches the Rfam family "Eukaryotic small subunit ribosomal RNA", at positions 1786 to 1831 of the family's 1831-position model. Lineage: Eukaryota; Fungi. The record is from RNAcentral.